Molecule: ribosomal RNA, 497 nt
Filed under: uncultured bacterium
Lineage: Bacteria
Description: partial 16S ribosomal RNA
Rfam family: Bacterial small subunit ribosomal RNA
Source: RNAcentral
GAUGAACGCUGGCGGCGUGCCUAAUACAUGCAAGUCGAGCGAACAGACGAGGAGCUUGCUCCUCUGACGUUAGCGGCGGACGGGUGAGUAACACGUGGAUAACCUACCUAUAAGACUGGGAUAACUUCGGGAAACCGGAGCUAAUACCGGAUAAUAUAUUGAACCGCAUGGUUCAAUAGUGAAAGACGGUUUUGCUGUCACUUAUAGAUGGAUCCGCGCCGCAUUAGCUAGUUGGUAAGGUAACGGCUUACCAAGGCAACGAUGCGUAGCCGACCUGAGAGGGUGAUCGGCCACACUGGAACUGAGACACGGUCCAGACUCCUACGGGAGGACGCAGUAGGGAAUCUUCCGCAAUGCGCGAAAGCCUGACGGAGCAACGCCGCGUGAGUGAUGAAGGUCUUCUGAUCGUAAAACUCUGUUAUUCGGGAAGAACAAAUGUGUAAGUACCUAUGCACGUCUUGACGGUACCUAAUCAGAAAGCCACGGCUAACUCCGUG